AGGGCGCAUGGCGGAUGCCUUGGCUCUCGGAGGCGAUGAAGGACGUGAUAAGCUGCGAUAAGCUUCGGGUAGGUGCAAAUGACCUUUGAUCCGAAGAUUUCCGAAUGGGACAACCCGGCAUUCUGAAGGAAUGUCAUCCAACUUGGUUGGAGGCUAACGCAGGGAACUGAAACAUCUUAGUACCUGCAGGAAAAGAAAAUAAAUAAUGAUUCCCCUAGUAGUGGCGAGCGAACGGGGAUUAGCCCAAACCACCCAUGUUACGGCAUGUGUGGGGUUGUAGGACCACGCUCUCGCAAGACAGUUAUUGAGAAGAAACGACUGGAAAGUCGUGCCAUAGACGGUGAUAGCCCGGUAUUCUAAGGUAACCGAAGCGUAGUGGUAUCCUGAGUAGCGCGGAGCACGAGGAAUUCUGCGUGAAUCAGCCGGGACCAUCCGGUAAGGCUAAAUACUCCCGAGAGACCGAUAGCGAACCAGUACUGUGAAGGAAAGGUGAAAAGCACUUCGAAUAGAAGAGUGAAAUAGUCCCUGAAACCAUGCGCCUACAAGCGGUCGGAGCAGCGUAAGUUGUGACGGCGUGCCUUUUGCAUAAUGAACCUACGAGUUACUUUUUCCGGCAAGGUUAAGCAUCUUGAGAUGUGGAUCCGAAGCGAAAGCGAGUCUGAACAGGGCGGAUAGUCGGAAGGAGUAGACGCGAAACCAAGUGAUCUACCCUUGGGCAGGUUGAAGGUUAGGUAACACUAACUGGAGGACCGAACCGAUAAGCGUUGAAAAGCUUCCGGAUGACCUGAGGGUGGGGGUGAAAGGCUAAUCAAACUUGGAGAUAGCUCGUACUCCCCGAAAUGCAUUUAGGUGCAGCCUUGAGAGUUACUAAUGUGAGGUAGAGCGACUGAUAAGAUGCGAGGGCUUCACCGCCUAUCAAGUCUUGAUAAACUCCGAAUGCGCAUUAGUUCUAUCUCAGGAGUGAGGGCAUGGGUGCUAAGGUCCAUGUCCUAAAGGAGAAGAAUCCAGACCAUCAGCUAAGGUCCCCAAAUAAACACUAAGUUGAACUAACGAAGUCAGAUUGCUAAGACAGCUAGGAUGUUGGCUUGGAAGCAGCCAUUCAUUUAAAGAGUGCGUAACAGCUCACUAGUCGAGGAGUUUGGCGUGGAUAAUAAUCGGGCAUAAGUGUUUUACCGAAGCUAUGGGAUCCUAAUGGAUCGGUAGGGGAGCAUUCCACUCAGCGUUGAAGGCGAAGCGUGAGCUUUACUGGAGCGUGUGGAAAAGCAAAUGUAGGUAUAAGUAACGAUAAAGGGGGUGAGAAACCCCCUCGCCGCAAGACUAAGGUUUCCUGAUCAACGCUAAUCGGAUCAGGGUUAGUCGGGUCCUAAGGCUCAGCCGAACGGUGAGGCCGAUGGCAGAACAGGUUAAUAUUCCUGUACUACCUAUAAGAGUGAUGUGGAGACGGAGGAGUGACAACGCCGCGGACUGACGGAAUAGUCCGUUAAAGGGUGUAGAUGUUGAUUAUCCCAGGCAAAUCCGGGAUAAGAGUCGAACCUGACAGUAUACCAAUUUCCUCGGAAAACGGUAAUAGUGCGUGUAAACAUACUCCCAAGAAAAUCCGCUAAACUUAAUCUUAUAGGUACCCGUACCGUAAACGGACACACGUAGUCGGGUUGAAUAUACUCAGGCGCUUGAGUGAAUCACGGUUAAGGAACUAGGCAAAUUGACCCUGUAACUUCGGGAUAAAGGGUCCCUACCCGGUGACGGGAGGGCGCAGAGAAUAGGUCCAGGCAACUGUUUAACAAAAACACAGGGCUGUGCAAAAUUGAAAGAUCACGUAUACAGCCUGACACCUGCCCGGUGCUGGAAGGUUAAGAGGAGAUGUCAUCGCAAGAGAAGCAUUGAAUUGAAGCCCCAGUAAACGGCGGCCGUAACUAUAACGGUCCUAAGGUAGCGAAAUUCCUUGUCGGGUAAGUUCCGACCUGCACGAAUGGUGUAAUGAUCUGGACACUGUCUCAACCGUGAGCUCAGUGA
Molecule: ribosomal RNA, 2013 nt
Filed under: gut metagenome
Description: bacterial LSU rRNA
Rfam family: Bacterial large subunit ribosomal RNA
Source: RNAcentral